This 793-nucleotide ribosomal RNA is filed under the name uncultured bacterium. RNAcentral describes it as "bacterial SSU rRNA". It matches the Rfam family "Bacterial small subunit ribosomal RNA", at positions 8 to 796 of the family's 1533-position model. The record is from RNAcentral.
AGAGUUUGAUCAUGGCUCAGGAUGAACGCUAGCGGCAGGCUUAAUACAUGCAAGUCGAGGGGCAGCACAGGUAGCAAUACUGGGUGGCGACCGGCAAACGGGUGCGGAACACGUACGCAACCUUCCUUUAAGCGGAGAAUAGCCCAGGGAAACUUGGAUUAAUACUCCAUAAGAUUAUGGUGUGGCAUCACACAGUAAUUAAAGCUCCGGCACUUAAAGAUGGGCGUGCGGCUGAUUAGGUAGUUGGCGGGGUAACGGCCCACCAAGCCUACGAUCAGUAACUGGUGUGAGAGCACGACCAGUCACACGGGCACUGAGACACGGGCCCGACUCCUACGGGAGGCAGCAGUAAGGAAUAUUGGUCAAUGGACGCAAGUCUGAACCAGCCAUGCCGCGUGGAGGAUGAAGGCCCUCUGGGUUGUAAACUUCUUUUAUUUGGGAAGAAACCCAUCUUUUCUAAGGUGGUUGACGGUACCAGAUGAAUAAGCACCGGCUAACUCCGUGCCAGCAGCCGCGGUAAUACGGAGGGUGCAAGCGUUAUCCGGAUUCACUGGGUUUAAAGGGUGCGUAGGUGGGCAGGUAAGUCAGUGGUGAAAUCUCCGGGCUUAACCCGGAAACUGCCGUUGAUACUAUCUGUCUUGAAUGUAGUGGAGGUGAGCGGAAUAUGUCAUGUAGCGGUGAAAUGCUUAGAUAUGACAUAGAACACCUAUUGCGAAGGCAGCUCGCUACACUAUUAUUGACACUGAGGCACGAAAGCGUGGGGAUCAAACAGGAUUAGAUACCCCCGUAGUCC